This 1016-nucleotide ribosomal RNA is filed under the name Acinetobacter baumannii. RNAcentral describes it as "partial 23S ribosomal RNA". It matches the Rfam family "Bacterial large subunit ribosomal RNA", at positions 1933 to 2925 of the family's 2925-position model. The record is from RNAcentral. Lineage: Bacteria; Pseudomonadati; Pseudomonadota; Gammaproteobacteria; Moraxellales; Moraxellaceae.
GCCGUAACUAUAACGGUCCUAAGGUAGCGAAAUUCCUUGUCGGGUAAGUUCCGACCUGCACGAAUGGCAUAAUGAUGGCGGCGCUGUCUCCAGCAGAGGCUCAGUGAAAUCGAAAUCGCUGUGAAGAUGCAGUGUACCCGCGGCUAGACGGAAAGACCCCGUGAACCUUUACUGCAGCUUGACACUGAACUUUGACCUUACUUGUGUAGGAUAGGUGGGAGGCUUUGAAGCUGGAACGCUAGUUCCAGUGGAGCCGUCCUUGAAAUACCACCCUGGUAAUGUUGAGGUUCUAACUCUGUCCCGUGAUCCGGGACGAGGACCGUGUCUGGUGGGUAGUUUGACUGGGGCGGUCUCCUCCUAAAGAGUAACGGAGGAGUACGAAGGUGCGCUCAGCGUGGUCGGAAAUCACGCGUAGAGUAUAAAGGCAAAAGCGCGCUUAACUGCGAGACCCACAAGUCGAGCAGGUACGAAAGUAGGUCUUAGUGAUCCGGUGGUUCUGUAUGGAAGGGCCAUCGCUCAACGGAUAAAAGGUACUCUGGGGAUAACAGGCUGAUACCGCCCAAGAGUUCAUAUCGACGGCGGUGUUUGGCACCUCGAUGUCGGCUCAUCUCAUCCUGGGGCUGAAGCAGGUCCCAAGGGUAUGGCUGUUCGCCAUUUAAAGAGGUACGCGAGCUGGGUUUAGAACGUCGUGAGACAGUUCGGUCCCUAUCUACCGUGGGCGCUGGAAAUUUGAGAGGAUCUGCUCCUAGUACGAGAGGACCAGAGUGGACGAACCUCUGGUGUACCGGUUGUGACGCCAGUCGCAUCGCCGGGUAGCUAUGUUCGGAAGGGAUAACCGCUGAAAGCAUCUAAGCGGGAAGCCUACCUCAAGAUAAGAUUUCCCUAGGACUUUAUGUCCUCUAAAGAGCCGUUCGAGACUAGGACGUUGAUAGGUUGGAUGUGGAAGCAUAGUGAUAUGUGAAGCUGACCAAUACUAAUUGCUCGUGAGGCUUGACUAUACAACACCCAAGCAGUUG